RNAcentral lists this transfer RNA (71 nucleotides) under Tupanvirus deep ocean. RNAcentral's name for it is "tRNA-Val". It matches the Rfam family "tRNA". From Rfam's summary of the family: Transfer RNA (tRNA) molecules are approximately 80 nucleotides in length. Their secondary structure includes four short double-helical elements and three loops (D, anti-codon, and T loops). Further hydrogen bonds mediate the characteristic L-shaped molecular structure. tRNAs have two regions of fundamental functional importance: the anti-codon, which is responsible for specific mRNA codon recognition, and the 3' end, to which the tRNAs corresponding amino acid is attached (by aminoacyl-tRNA synthetases). tRNAs cope with the degeneracy of the genetic code in two manners: having more than one tRNA (with a specific anti-codon) for a particular amino acid; and 'wobble' base-pairing, i.e. permitting non-standard base-pairing at the 3rd anti-codon position. RNAcentral also lists the same sequence under 1 other name. The record is from RNAcentral. Lineage: Varidnaviria; Bamfordvirae; Nucleocytoviricota; Megaviricetes; Imitervirales; Mimiviridae.
CAACCGGUAGUACAACGGUAGUAUACUUGUUUUACACGCAAGUGACAUGGGUUCGACUCCCAUCUGGUUCA